RNAcentral lists this long non-coding RNA (698 nucleotides) under Androctonus crassicauda. Lineage: Eukaryota; Metazoa; Arthropoda; Arachnida; Scorpiones; Buthidae. The record is from RNAcentral.
AUGGACAGUUAUGUGAUUAAAACAUGUUUAUUGAUUUCUGAAAAAAAAAAAAAAAAAAAUGGACUUAUUUCUCGAUAUUCAAAAUUUUCAACGAGAUCAUCUUCGUAAAACAACCACAUUGAUUACCAGAGAAGAUGGUAAAGUUUUGACAGAAAAGCAAAUUGGAGAUAAAUAUAGUUCGGAAGUAUGUGGAACCACUAGGGGUUAUGUCCUGGACACAAAACCUGAUCUUCAAGUUGCAGUCAUUCUAUCAGGAUUAAUCUUAGGUAAUAAUUCUAUGUAAUUAUUAAAGUUUGUAAAUUUUACAUUACCGCCAUACGAACGAAAGUAGGAUCAUCGAAAUAUGACGAGUAGAAAAAAUAUUCCAAAUUCAUUUCAUUUCCACAAGAUAGAAGUGCGAAAAAUGUUUGCACUUUAUCUGGUGGCAGGCUUCGAGAAAAUGAUCGACGAAAUUAAACAUAUACUAAAUAAAAACGUAUAAGUUACUUGCUGAUAGUGCAGUUUUUUAGGACUUUAAUAAACAUAUACUCCUAAUUAACCGAGGUAGUUUGGAAAUGAAUUACAUAAUCGAUUCUCCUGAUAAUCGCGAGACUCAAAAAAAUCAGAAUUAUUGACAAUAUGCUUUUAAUAAAAAAUAAAUAAAUUACAUACAAAGUCUUUAAUAAUUUAUCGAAAAAGGAAAUUGGUUUAUUUGCAGC